Molecule: long non-coding RNA, 1621 nt
Organism: Oncorhynchus masou masou (cherry salmon)
Lineage: Eukaryota; Metazoa; Chordata; Actinopteri; Salmoniformes; Salmonidae
Exons: 3
Source: RefSeq, a predicted model, not a curated record
UUUGAGUAUGUACCCUUGCGGAUGGCGAGCAGCGGAGCGAUUGCACUUUGGUGCCAAACGGUGAUGAGCAGAGUCCACGGUAACACUAUCAACACGAUGGCAAGAAUGUCUCUUCUCUUCGGCAUCUCCAGGAUUGGUUUUAUGUCUCGUCAUUACCUGCCGGGAGAGAGGAGGAGCGACAAACAUGUCAACAUGGGCCGCUAGCUAAAUGAUCCACUCUACAAGAUGUGGUGGCUUGGCUGAGAGAACCACUAACUUAUUUUACCAUGAGGAAGGUCUUUUAGCACAGCAACAAAAUACCACAUCAAUUCUGUUUAUCUUCCAGGCGUAGAAAUACUCAAUUUAUACACAUCUUGUCAGGCAAAAUACAUAAACCCCAUAAAAGCCUUCCCCUGAUAAAGAAAUGGGUCAAGAAGACCCUUUCAUGCGUGAGUUUCAAAUAUCUCUAACGGUCGCCCCAGCGUGAGUUUUUUUUAUUCACGUGAUGUUAGAAUGUUCUCUCCAUUCCAGAAUGUGAUUGAAACGUAAACAGUACAUUUUUACCCACGCAGCCUGUUUAUAUUUAUAGGCUGUUUCAACUUCAAUUUCAAAUGAUUUUGUAACAAGUUUUUAUUUUCUAAAAACAGUUUGAAUUUAGGUGUGUUCCGCCUCCUCAUUCAUUCACAUAAAAAUAGUAAUUUUUACUUUUGCGGACAAUUACAUUUUUGGGACAUUUCUGACACGGACAAAAUUCCCCUAGCACUUCCCAAUUGUUUGUGCAGUUCACGUCUGCAAACAUUUCCUCAUCUCCCGUCAGAACAAUAUUUGUGUAUAUUCUUUAUAACCGCAGACACGUGAGAAACCACAAACAUUAUUUGCCAAUAUCAUAACUGGAGCUGGACAUCUUUGGAGCUGAAGAAUGACAGCUUUUGUAUGCUAAUGUACACUCCUUAACAGUUUUACUGGAUGAAAACACAGCAAGAAAACACAUAUGCUAAUAUGUAAUAGUCAUCUAUUUUAUUGCAGUAUUGGUCGUUAGUUCAACAACUUGUUUUACUAGAGGACAAAAAACUGAAUAUGCAUGCAGUGACUGAACAACAACUGCAUUUCCACCCCCACCUCUAAAGGCAUAGUAUCAUGGCAGGUCACCUGUCAGGUCAGUCAGUCACUUAUUGCUGCAGAUGUGCUCAAUAAUGCUUGAGCAUGUGAUACUCCUCAAAGCAUGGUGAAAUACAUAGAGGUGUAUCACAAGCUAGACACAUGUAUUUUGUCAUCUUCCUCUGCUUACUUCUCCUGGCGCCAGACAGGCAGACUUUGCAGUGCCUCCGUGUGCGACUACCUUGAGAAGCAGUUUGAGGGACUUUGCAGGGAAAAUGCCGUGCAGUGAGGCGUAGGGGAUUGUCUACAGCAGGACGACCCCCAGUGGAUGGGCGCCGAGGGGUGUGGUGCUCCUCCAGCAGCUCUCAUGAGGUUCUCUCUGUAUUUUUGGUAGGUAAUUACUUUACCUAUGAGGGAGUGGGGAGGACGAGGAAAGUUAGAGGAUGAUGAGGCAGUGGGUGGUCUACCUUCCCUGUGGCCGACAUGGUUGCUGUAUGGACAGUGGAGAGGACACGGACGUCUCGUUUGUCAUGUCACUUUACUG